GACGAACGCUGGCGGCGUGCCUAAUACAUGCAAGUCGUGCGGACCUUGUUGAAAGCUUGCUUUUAAAAGGUUAGCGGCGGACGGGUGAGUAACACGUGGGCAACCUGCCUGUAAGACUGGGAUAACGCCGGGAAACCGGGGCUAAUACCAGAUCGUUUUUUCCUCCGCAUGGAGGAAAAAGGAAAGGCGGCUUCGGCUGCCACUUACAGAUGGGCCCGCGGCGCAUUAGCUAGUUGGCGGGGUAAUGGCCCACCAAGGCAACGAUGCGUAGCCGACCUGAGAGGGUGAUCGGCCACAUUGGGACUGAGACACGGCCCAAACUCCUACGGGAGGCAGCAGUAGGGAAUCUUCCGCAAUGGACGAAAGUCUGACGGAGCAACGCCGCGGGAGUGAAGAAGGCCUUCGGGUCGUAAAACUCUGUUGCCGGGGAAGAACAAGUGCCGUUCGAACAGGGCGGCGCCUUGACGGUACCCGGACAGAAAGCCACGGCUAACUACGUG
RNAcentral lists this ribosomal RNA (500 nucleotides) under uncultured bacterium. Its description in RNAcentral is "partial 16S ribosomal RNA". It matches the Rfam family "Bacterial small subunit ribosomal RNA", at positions 28 to 507 of the family's 1533-position model. The record is from RNAcentral.